GCUCACUCUGGCAGCACAUAUACUAAAACUAAAACGACAGAGAAGAUUAGCAUGGCCCCUGUGCAAGGAUGACACACAAAUUCUUGAAGGGCUCCAUAUUUAA
This 103-nucleotide small nuclear RNA is filed under the name Catagonus wagneri (Chacoan peccary). Lineage: Eukaryota; Metazoa; Chordata; Mammalia; Artiodactyla; Tayassuidae. The record is from RNAcentral.